CUACGGGAGGCUGCAGUAAGGAAUAUUGCGCAAUGGAGGCAACUCUGACGCAGCCAUGCCGCGUGCAGGAAGAAGGCCUUAUGGGUCGUAAACUGCUUUUAUUUAGGAAUAAACCCCCGAACGUGUUCGGGGCUGAAGGUACUAAACGAAUAAGCACCGGCUAACUCCGUGCCAGCAGCCGCGGUAAUACGGAGGGUGCAAGCGUUAUCCGGAGUUAUUGGGUUUAAAGGGUGCGCAGGCGGGCUAUUAAGUCAGUGGUGAAAUCCCGGGGCUCAACUCCGGAACUGCCAUUGAUACUGAUAGUCUUGAGUUUGGUUGAAGUGGGCGGAAUGUAGCAUGUAGCGGUGAAAUGCAUAGAUAUGCUACAGAACACCAAUCGCGAAGGCAGCUCACUAAGCCAAAACUGACGCUCAUGCACGAAAGCGUGGGGAUCAAACAGGAUUAGAUACCCCCGUAGUC
This 459-nucleotide ribosomal RNA is filed under the name uncultured bacterium. RNAcentral describes it as "partial 16S ribosomal RNA". It matches the Rfam family "Bacterial small subunit ribosomal RNA", at positions 339 to 795 of the family's 1533-position model. The record is from RNAcentral.